GUUCACCGCCGAACAGGCGGUUUAAAAA
RNAcentral lists this non-coding RNA (28 nucleotides) under Candidatus Nitrosacidicoccus tergens. Lineage: Bacteria; Pseudomonadati; Pseudomonadota; Gammaproteobacteria; Chromatiales; Chromatiaceae. The record is from RNAcentral.